AACUCUGGUUCUUGAUUUGGUGCUUGCAUCAUGAUUUACAUUUGAGUCGAGUCGGCGAACUGGUGAGUAACACGUGGGAAACCUGCCCAGAAGCGGGGGAUAACACCUGGAAACAGAUGCUAAUACCGCAUAACAACUUGGACCGCAUGGUCCGAGCUUGAAAGAUGGCUUCGGCUAUCACUUUUGGAUGGUCCCGCGGCGUAUUAGCUAGAUGGUGGGGUAACGGCUCACCAUGGCAAUGAUACGUAGCCGACCUGAGAGGGUAAUCGGCCACAUUGGGACUGAGACACGGCCCAAACUCCUACGGGAGGCAGCAGUAGGGAAUCUUCCACAAUGGACGAAAGUCUGAUGGAGCAACGCCGCGUGAGUGAAGAAGGGUUUCGGCUCGUAAAACUCUGUUGUUAAAGAAGAACAUAUCUGAGAGUAACUGUUCAGGUAUUGACGGUAUUUAACCAGAAAGCCACGGCUAACUACGUGCCAGCAGCCGCGGUAAUACGUAGGUGGCAAGCGUUGUCCGGAUUUAUUGGGCGUAAAGCGAGCGCAGGCGGUUUUUUAAGUCUGAUGUGAAAGCCUUCGGCUCAACCGAAGAAGUGCAUCGGAAACUGGGAAACUUGAGUGCAGAAGAGGACAGUGGAACUCCAUGUGUAGCGGUGAAAUGCGUAGAUAUAUGGAAGAACACCAGUGGCGAAGGCGGCUGUCUGGUCUGUAACUGACGCUGAGGCUCGAAAGUAUGGGUAGCAAACAGGAUUAGAUACCCUGGUAGUCCAUACCGUAAACGAUGAAUGCUAAGUGUUGGAGGGUUUCCGCCCUUCAGUGCUGCAGCUAACGCAUUAAGCAUUCCGCCUGGGGAGUACGGCCGCAAGGCUGAAACUCAAAGGAAUUGACGGGGGCCCGCACAAGCGGUGGAGCAUGUGGUUUAAUUCGAAGCUACGCGAAGAACCUUACCAGGUCUUGACAUACUAUGCAAAUCUAAGAGAUUAGACGUUCCCUUCGGGGACAUGGAUACAGGUGGUGCAUGGUUGUCGUCAGCUCGUGUCGUGAGAUGUUGGGUUAAGUCCCGCAACGAGCGCAACCCUUAUUAUCAGUUGCCAGCAUUAAGUUGGGCACUCUGGUGAGACUGCCGGUGACAAACCGGAGGAAGGUGGGGAUGACGUCAAAUCAUCAUGCCCCUUAUGACCUGGGCUACACACGUGCUACAAUGGAUGGUACAACGAGUUGCGAACUCGCGAGAGUAAGCUAAUCUCUUAAAGCCAUUCUCAGUUCGGAUUGUAGGCUGCAACUCGCCUACAUGAAGUCGGAAUCGCUAGUAAUCGCGGAUCAGCAUGCCGCGGUGAAUACGUUCCCGGGCCUUGUACACACCGCCCGUCACACCAUGAGAGUUUGUAACACCCAAAGUCGGUGGGGUA
RNAcentral lists this ribosomal RNA (1406 nucleotides) under Pediococcus pentosaceus. RNAcentral's name for it is "bacterial SSU rRNA". It matches the Rfam family "Bacterial small subunit ribosomal RNA". The record is from RNAcentral. Lineage: Bacteria; Bacillati; Bacillota; Bacilli; Lactobacillales; Lactobacillaceae.